RNAcentral lists this transfer RNA (74 nucleotides) under Leucobacter luti. It matches the Rfam family "tRNA". Rfam says of the family: Transfer RNA (tRNA) molecules are approximately 80 nucleotides in length. Their secondary structure includes four short double-helical elements and three loops (D, anti-codon, and T loops). Lineage: Bacteria; Bacillati; Actinomycetota; Actinomycetes; Micrococcales; Microbacteriaceae. The record is from Rfam by way of RNAcentral.
GGCCGUCUAGCCCAAUUGGCAGAGGCGUCUGAUUUAGGAUCAGAAGGUUCUGGGUUCGAGUCCCAGGAUGGCCA